This is a non-coding RNA of Coprinopsis marcescibilis, 96 nucleotides long. Lineage: Eukaryota; Fungi; Basidiomycota; Agaricomycetes; Agaricales; Psathyrellaceae. The record is from the annotation of a GenBank genome assembly.
GCAUUGAUGGUGUAGCGGUAACAUUGGGUCUUCCCAUUCGUCUUCUUGAUGUUGGUCGGUCUGGCCUAGCUCCGGGUUCGACUCCCGGUCAAUGCA